GACGAACGCUGGCGGCGUGCUUAACACAUGCAAGUCGAACGGAAGGGCCCUGCUUUUGUGGGGUGCUCGAGUGGCGAACGGGUGAGUAACACGUGAGUAACCUGCCCUUGACUUUGGGAUAACUUCAGGAAACUGGGGCUAAUACCGGAUAGGAGCUCCUGCUGCAUGGUGGGGGUUGGAAAGUUUCGGCGGUUGGGGAUGGACUCGCGGCUUAUCAGCUUGUUGGUGGGGUAGUGGCUUACCAAGGCCUUGACGGGUAGCCGGCCUGAGAGGGUGACCGGCCACAUUGGGACUGAGAUACGGCCCAGACUCCUACGGGAGGCAGCAGUGGGGAAUAUUGCACAAUGGGCGGAAGCCUGAUGCAGCAACGCCGCGUGCGGGAUGACGGCCUUCGGGUUGUAAACCGCUUUCGCCUGUGACGAAGCGUGAGUGACGGUAAUGGGUAAAGAAGCACCGGCUAACUACGUG
RNAcentral lists this ribosomal RNA (468 nucleotides) under uncultured bacterium. Its description in RNAcentral is "partial 16S ribosomal RNA". It matches the Rfam family "Bacterial small subunit ribosomal RNA", at positions 28 to 507 of the family's 1533-position model. The record is from RNAcentral.